This 292-nucleotide ribosomal RNA is filed under the name uncultured bacterium. RNAcentral describes it as "partial 16S ribosomal RNA". It matches the Rfam family "Bacterial small subunit ribosomal RNA", at positions 505 to 796 of the family's 1533-position model. The record is from RNAcentral.
GUGUCAGCCGCCGCGGUAAUACGGGGGGGGCAAGCGUUGUUCGGAAUUACUGGGCGUAAAGGGUUCGUAGGUGGCCCGCUAAGUCAGACGUGAAAUCCCUCAGCUUAACUGGGGAACUGCGUCUGAGACUGGCAGGCUCGAGUGCAGGAGAGGAACGCGGAAUUCCAGGUGUAGCGGUGAAAUGCGUAGAUAUCUGGAGGAACACCGGUGGCGAAGGCGGCGUUCUGGACUGCUACUGACACUGAGGAACGAAAGCCAGGGGAGCAAACGGGAUUAGAUACCCCUGUAGUCC